Biomphalaria pfeifferi is the source of this 979-nucleotide non-coding RNA. The record is from the annotation of a GenBank genome assembly. NCBI's taxonomy places the organism in Eukaryota, Metazoa, Mollusca, Gastropoda, Planorbidae.
AAAUGGUUUUAACGUUUAUUUUUCAUUUUAACAAAACAUUGAACAAGCAAAAUACACAACGUCAUUGGUCAACACUCUAACACCCCUUGACCAACUGUUUGAAAAGUUCAUUUGAAAUUAGGGAAAGUUAUUCAACUAAGGGACAAAACAAAUAUUCAGUUUUCUUGUUAUCAAUAUUGAAACCAUUUUAUGAGAACAAAAAAAUAAUGCGAGAUCAUCACAACAAAAGCUUUUGGGACUGAAAUCAUGCUCAGCCUUGAAAAAAAAAAUGAUGUUUUGUGAUUUAGAGCAAGUCUUUUUUUUUUCAAAUCGAAAAAUAGUGUCAUGUUUUGAAACUAGUAAGGAACAUGAGGGUGUAUGUAAAUACAAUUGUUUUCACAAAAAAAACAACAAAAAAAAACAAGUUUUUUGUUUUGGCAAUGAAAUUUGUACAUUGAAAAUGUAUUUUUAUCUACUUCAAAAAGACUUACCAUAGUCAAAGGUAAGAUAGACUUCAUCACUAGAUAAAUAGUUGACACUGUGACAAUGCAAGCAUAAAAGUUUGACCAUUGGUAGAAUUAAGAAAUGAAUGACAAAAUUUUCACAGUAUUAUAUGAGUGUAAUUCACUUAUUCACUGUGUCCAAAAUAAAAGGGUCUUGUAAUUAAUUUGAUGAUUAAUAAUUUAAAUUUGAUGACAUUGAUUUCAUCAAUGUUCUACUGUUUCAAUGUAAAUAAAAUACAAUUCACUUAUUUAAUUUUAAACAAAGAUAUUUCAUAUUUAAGUGACACAGGAUCACAAACAAAAAUGAUUUUAACCAUUAAAGUAACAUACUAAAUAUAUAUUCCAUAAUAUCCACUUAACAAAACAUAAAAUUUAAAAAAUGAAAGCAUGAAAAACUUUAUGAAAAUGGAGAAAAACAUGAUUUUUUUCAUGAGAAACUGAAUUAUGGUAGAAGAUCUUUUAAAAGAAAAAAAAAAAAAAAAAAAUUAUAAAUGGAC